This 364-nucleotide transfer RNA is filed under the name Ancylothrix terrestris 11PC. RNAcentral describes it as "16S-23S ribosomal RNA intergenic spacer". The stretch from base 136 to 209 matches the Rfam family "tRNA". The record is from RNAcentral. Lineage: Bacteria; Bacillati; Cyanobacteriota; Cyanophyceae; Oscillatoriales; Microcoleaceae.
AAAGGGAGACCUAAUUCGGGUAUGGGAUGAAAAAAAAGUAGUCCCUACCAAGAAUCAAUCCCAAAAGGUCGGAGCGAGGCAAAAUUGGCUUUCAAACUAGGUUCUGGGUUCACACAAGACCUGAAUCAGGAACAAGGGCUAUUAGCUCAGGUGGUUAGAGCGCACCCCUGAUAAGGGUGAGGUCCCUGGUUCGAGUCCAGGAUGGCCCACCUGCACGGGUGGCAAAAACAAAGAAAAGAAGCUCCGAAUCAGCACCUUAUCUUACUUAUAUAGUAAGAGAGAAUGCUGGCUCUGAGUUCAGAGUCCAGAGGAACCUUGAAAACUGCAUAGAGCUAGGUGAAAAAGCCAAAAAAGAAGACCGCCA